This 85-nucleotide transfer RNA is filed under the name Felis catus (domestic cat). It matches the Rfam family "tRNA". From Rfam's summary of the family: Transfer RNA (tRNA) molecules are approximately 80 nucleotides in length. Lineage: Eukaryota; Metazoa; Chordata; Mammalia; Carnivora; Felidae. The record is from Rfam by way of RNAcentral.
GCCUGGGUGGCUCAGUUGGUUGAGCAUCUGACUUCAGCUCAGGUCAUGAUCUCACAGUUUGUGGGCUUGAGCCCCAUGUCGGGCU